CCUACGGGAGGCUGCAGUGAGGAAUAUUGGUCAAUGGACGCAAGUCUGAACCAGCCAUGCCGCGUGCAGGAAGACGGCCCUAUGAGUUGUAAACUGCUUUUGUACGAGGGUAAACGCAGAUACGCGUAUCUGUCUGAAAGUAUCGUACGAAUAAGGAUCGGCUAACUCCGUGCCAGCAGCCGCGGUAAUACGGAGGAUUCAAGCGUUAUCCGGAUUUAUUGGGUUUAAAGGGUGCGUAGGCGGGUGGAUAAGUUAGAGGUGAAAGCUCGAGGCUCAACUUCGGAAUUGCCUCUGAUACUGGUAGGCUAGAGAAUAGUUGCGGUAGGCGGAAUGUAUGGUGUAGCGGUGAAAUGCUUAGAGAUCAUACAGAACACCGAUUGCGAAGGCAGCUUACCAAGCUACUUCUGACAUUGAGGCACGAAAGCGUGGGGAGCAAACAGGAUUAGAUACCCCAGUAGUC
This 460-nucleotide ribosomal RNA is filed under the name uncultured bacterium. Its description in RNAcentral is "partial 16S ribosomal RNA". It matches the Rfam family "Bacterial small subunit ribosomal RNA", at positions 338 to 795 of the family's 1533-position model. The record is from RNAcentral.